Long non-coding RNA from Sinocyclocheilus rhinocerous, 629 nucleotides. RefSeq lists it as uncharacterized. The record is from RefSeq and is a predicted model, not a curated record. The transcript is spliced from 3 exons. NCBI's taxonomy places the organism in Eukaryota, Metazoa, Chordata, Actinopteri, Cypriniformes, Cyprinidae.
UGUCUUUAAAUUCUCAGCCAUUAAUUUGCUCGAACGCUGCGAGUGAAUUUAGCCACAUCUGAUCUGAUUGAACGAUGGAUAUACCCAUCAGCUAGUGUUUGAGAAAAGCCCUGGACCAUCAAACGACCGCUCUGGAUCUGAUAGCCGCCUGUGACUCGAUCGAAACGGUCGUUUUAGGUCCUCUUUAUUUUGUCGCAGUCAGAAAUUAUUCCAGCUCAAGGCCAGCGGUCGCGCGCACUGUUUCUCUGCUCCUACAGCCUUUCACAUCUCUUCGCCUCAUAAACUAGACACAUCUCUUGUGUAAUGUCUAGGUCAUCCUGGUUUGGUGUCUGAUUUGAUUUGCGGGCAGAUCUGAAUUUCUAACACAGAUUCGGUCUCAAGCUGAUAUAUAAAGCUGUUCCAGUAAUGCAAACACUAGUUUUGCUUAAAGUCAAAUAGAGCAAAGGCUGUACGAGGCAGAGAAAGGCCAGAGGGAGAAGACGUAUACUGAGUCUUUGUGCCAGGGGUUGUGCUCCCCUCUUACUGCUGGUCACCCAUCGAUUCCUGGCUGCCUUCCACCUCUGAUCACAGCCAUGACCUCUCAGAGAGACCCCGACACAGUGAGUAUAUCAGUCUACAUCUCUCUGUAC